GGCCUCCCAAUGCUUACCACAGGCUGUGUUCUUUACACUGACUGUAUAGAAAGAGGAGGUACAGUAAAUGCAAUAAUAAUAAUAAUAAUAAUUUUUAUUGUGAUUAAAGUGAAUUACAAGUCUUUU
This is a small nucleolar RNA of Suncus etruscus (white-toothed pygmy shrew), 126 nucleotides long. RefSeq annotates it as small nucleolar RNA SNORA51. The transcript has a single exon. NCBI's taxonomy places the organism in Eukaryota, Metazoa, Chordata, Mammalia, Eulipotyphla, Soricidae. The record is from RefSeq and is a predicted model, not a curated record.